AUUGAACGCUGGCGGCAGGCUUAACACAUGCAAGUCGAGCGGAAACGAUGAUAGCUUGCUAUCAGGCGUCGAGCGGCGGACGGGUGAGUAAUACUUAGGAAUCUACCUAGUAGUGGGGGAUAGCACGGGGAAACUCGUAUUAAUACCGCAUACGACCUACGGGAGAAAGGGGGCAGUUUACUGCUCUCGCUAUUAGAUGAGCCUAAGUCGGAUCAGCUAGAUGGUGGGGUAAAGGCCUACCAUGGCGACGAUCUGUAGCUGGUCUGAGAGGAUGAUCAGCCACACCGGGACUGAGACACGGCCCGGACUCCUACGGGAGGCAGCAGUGGGGAAUAUUGGACAAUGGGGGAAACCCUGAUCCAGCCAUGCCGCGUGUGUGAAGAAGGCCUUUUGGUUGUAAAGCACUUUAAGCAGUGAAGAAGACUCCAUGGUUAAUACCCAUGGACGAUGACAUUAGCUGCAGAAUAAGCACCGGCUAACUCUGUGCCAGCAGCCGCGGUAAUACAGAGGGUGCAAGCGUUAAUCGGAAUUACUGGGCGUAAAGGGAGCGUAGGUGGCUCUAUAAGUCAGAUGUGAAAUCCCCGGGCUUAACCUGGGAACUGCAUCUGAAACUGUAGAGCUAGAGUAUGUGAGAGGAAGGUAGAAUUCCAGGUGUAGCGGUGAAAUGCGUAGAGAUCUGGAGGAAUACCGAUGGCGAAGGCAGCCUUCUGGCAUAAUACUGACACUGAGGCUCGAAAGCGUGGGUAGCAAACAGG
This 755-nucleotide ribosomal RNA is filed under the name uncultured bacterium. Its description in RNAcentral is "bacterial SSU rRNA". It matches the Rfam family "Bacterial small subunit ribosomal RNA", at positions 28 to 776 of the family's 1533-position model. The record is from RNAcentral.